Molecule: ribosomal RNA, 767 nt
Filed under: Bacillus sp. (in: firmicutes)
Lineage: Bacteria; Bacillati; Bacillota; Bacilli; Caryophanales; Bacillaceae
Description: bacterial SSU rRNA
Rfam family: Bacterial small subunit ribosomal RNA
Source: RNAcentral
AUAGAGUUUGAUCAUGGCUCAGGAUGAACGCUGGCGGCGUACCUAAUACAUGCAAGUCGAGCGGACAGAAGGGAGCUUGCUCCCGGAUGUUAGCGGCGGACGGGUGAGUAACACGUGGGUAACCUGCCUGUAAGACUGGGAUAACUCCGGGAAACCGGAGCUAAUACCGGAUAGUUCCUUGAACCGCAUGGUUCAAGGAUGAAAGACGGUUUCGGCUGUCACUUACAGAUGGACCCGCGGCGCAUUAGCUAGUUGGUGAGGUAACGGCUCACCAAGGCGACGAUGCGUAGCCGACCUGAGAGGGGGAUCGUCGACACGGAGAAUCAGACGCGGCCCGAAGUCCUACAAGAGGCAGCAGUAGGGAAUCUUCUGCAAUAGACAAAUGUAUGACGGAAAAACGCAGACUGAAUGAAGAAGGUAUUAGGAUAGUAAAGCUCUGAGAUAAGGGAAGCACAAGAGCAAGAGUAACUGCUUGCACCUACACACUCCCUAACCAGAAAGCCACGGCUGAAUACGUGCCAGCAGCCGCGGUAAUGAGUAGGUGGCAAGCGUUGUCCGGAAUUAAUGGGACUAAAGGGCUCGCAGGCGGUUUAUUAAGUCUGAUGUGAAAGCCCCCGGAUCAACCGGGGAGGGUCAUUGGAAACUGGGAAACUUGAGUGCAGAAGAGGAGAGUGGAAUUCCACGUGUAGCGGUGAAAUGCGUAGAGAUGUGGAGGAACACCAGUGGCGAAGGCGACUCUCUGUCUUAACGACGCGAGAGGAAGCGGA